This is a non-coding RNA of Camellia sinensis, 3097 nucleotides long. The record is from RefSeq and is a predicted model, not a curated record. NCBI's taxonomy places the organism in Eukaryota, Viridiplantae, Streptophyta, Magnoliopsida, Ericales, Theaceae.
UGCCAGCCACCAUUUGUUCUUGCCGUCCACAAAUGUGGCCUGCUGGCCACUCGUGCCAGUUUGGGACAGUUUUGUCUUUUCAGCCUCGGGUCUUUAAAUAUACAACUCCAAACUUCGUUUCCUCAUAAACCCUUAUCCGAAAAUCAUCCCUCUCUCUCCAGGUGCUUUCACUCUCUAGAUUUGCACUUUAUACACGUUUUCCAAUGCCCCACGUAAACUUUUUCCGUAAAACCCUCUUGAUUCUCUACAUUUUAAACAUAACAUAAUUUGAUUUCAUCACUUCUUUUUUUUUUUUUUUUCAUUUUCACCACUUUAGGCUUAUCCCCUUCGAGUUUCUCUCGGGUUUCGUAAACUUUCUCGGGUUUUGACUUUUUCUCUCAUUUUCUCUCUUCUGGGGUUGACUUUUUCCAAGUUUUCCCUCUUUUCUACAUUUUUCUUCAUUUUUCACCCACUUAUUACUUACUUUCCCAGAUGGCAGACGAUAUUCCAUUUGACGGGGUUCCUUCCGAGGUUCUGCCUCCACCAUCACCCGCUACUGAGGUUGAAGAGCUAGCGGCGAAGGGCAUUGCAGCUGACCUGGAGGCAGAGUUUGCCUCGGGACUCGAGCCCAAGCCAUUAUCACUGGGGAUUCGGCCCUUUGAUCUAGAGGCGUAUCAUUCCGGCACACAUAUAUUACUAUCCGGAGGUAUCAAGCACUUCAGCGACUUUGCAUGUGGCACGCCAGAGGACCUUCUGCUGAGGGAGCCAGAUAACACCUUAUUUUCAUGGAGACUCUCUCACCUACAGAGGAUAUGGAGUGGUGAUGGCCAGGGACUAAUACUACGAGCUCCCCGUAGGUGUCCGCAAUAUUGUCGACGAGUUUGGCUUUGGCCUUUUUUGCUCCGGACUUUCACACCUCAGAGCGAGCCGGCCCCUCCUCGGAGCGUUGGUAGAGAGGUGGUGGGACACCACCGAUUCUUCCACUUCUCUUUCGCUGGGGAGCUGACGAUGACUCCCUACGACUUCUCCAUGUUGACAGGCUUAAGAGUAGGGCGUGGUCUGAUCCGCUUCGACACGGACAUGGGUGAGUGGGAGGCAACUUGGAUCUUCCUACUUGGAGCACGCCCACUCAUAUCCAGACUAGUGAUGGUGCGAUAUAGCUGGUUUUCUGAGCAUUUCUGCAAGAGCGAGCCCGUGAUCCUAGAGGAGAUAAAGUAGUACACCUGGAGCUUCUUAAUGUUUCUUCUCGGGACCACCUUGUUCACAUAUAGGUGGAACAUCGUAGGAUUGUAUUUACUAAACGACUUAGUGACCCUGUCCCGAGUCCGAUACUAUGACUAGGACAGAGCUGGCCUCGUCACGCUUUACAGUUACAUGAGUUCUACUUCCCGCAUGAUGGGAGAGCGAGUUAAAGGCCACUGGCAGGCUUGGGAGUUAUGGGUUUACGCAUAUUUUUCGGCCUUUGCUCCGAAGCCUGUGGAUGAGAUCCCCCCAUAGUAUCGUAUUCACGACUGUUUGACAGCCAGUGCCGGCGUCAAAAUCGUGAUGAUACGACCUUCGCCUUCUUUUGCCGUUACUUCGAUAUAUUGAUCGCCGACGAGGCAACCCGAAACUCAUAAUCAUUUUUUCUUUAAUACUGCUCUGAUUCAUACUUCGAUAUUUGAUGGCAACCAAUAAUCUGUACAUUCUCUAUUUGCAGAUCACAUGGCAGCCUUAGGCGACGAUGCCGGCCAGGGUGAAGGACCAGUAUACGGGGGCCUGAGGCACAUCUCACUUCCGGAUUUUGCUAGAGGGCCCAGUCUACCGGGCUUGGUUUUUGAGCGAGCGAUUUGUAUGCCAGACCGUUGGCUCACUUGAUCCGGUCAUUUCCAUGCCACCCCUAAAGUCUAUACGGACAGUAGAUAGCCUCUCAGUUGAGGUUGUUAUUCAGUUCAUGGAGAGCCUGGAUGCGAACUUCUUCAGAGCAGAGGGUGAUUAUGUAACAUUCAUCCAGACUCAUCUUAUGUCCCCUCUAACGGGCGUUCACACAGGCGAGACAACAGGAGCUCCUAUGGCGGGUGAGGCGACUCGGGCGACCAGGGCCCAUAUUAAAGGGGCCCCUCCUGUUCAACAAAUGACCAGUUGGCUGGAGAUUCCUACUGCGCUUACAUAUGGGCGGUCGACUGGGACUGCCUACCAGAUUUUGAUCGAGCCGGCAGAGGCAGGGCACGAGUAUGUUAGAGCUCGAGGCGCGCCUCAGGCACCUACUACGGAGUAUGCAAAGAGCUUCCUUGAGCUAGUUACCUCCCUGAUCGACAUGGUGCAGAAGAGAGAGAUGUUGCAUGGUCUCCACGGUAUUCAGGUAUUUUCCCCCAUUUCAGCGUGCAUUUCAUUACUAAUUCUGUUGUGCACCACACUAUCAUAUUUCCACUGACAUAUUGGCAUCACCACUGUAGUCUUCUCCAAACUACACUGUACAUUGUAUUGGCACACUGUACUUAUAAUGUAUCUAGUUUCUGCAUGACACUCAUUUUGUAUACUAUACCUGUAUCUGAUACAUACACUGUAACUGAUAUGUUGAUAACUAUUUUUCUAGAUCUCAUCUGUACCGAGGGCACCAGUGGCAGCAGCAGCAUCAGCACUAGUAGUACCUCCUCUAUCAGCAGGGAGAUGACAGAGAUGGGCCCCAGCACGCAGCUGAGAUGAGAGUCGUGGUCGAGGUAGGGACAAGGGUGCCCGAGGCCAAAGUAGUCCUUCAGAGCCCGUUCUAAGUGGCGAUGAUGAUGACAAGGCCAGUGCCUCUAAGAUAGUGAGUCGACAUUCUGAGUCUAAGAGUGAGGACAAUGAUGCCAGCUCAGGAUCGGGAAGCGGAGAUGACACCGAGGCCGGCUCCAAGGCAGGGAGCGGAGGCUCAGAGUAUGGUUCUGACAGCGGCGCUAACGAAGACAAUGCCCCUAAGUCCUCUCUGAGGAAGAGGACGAAGAAGGCCUCCUGAGCUUGAGAUGAUUGACGCUGCUUUUUGGACUUUUUGCUUAAUUUCUUUUAGUUUUGGUAGUUUAGCAUAUGUAUAGCUUCAGAUAGGUUUUACUUUUGCUUUUGAAACUUGUACUUCUUUUGUAAAAACCAUGAUCGAAAUAAA